GUGGCGUCAUGCUUUAAGUCUCCAGGCCUGAGAUAUUUUUAAAGCCAGCGUUACUGAGGUAUAGAAUUUGCACAAUAACAUGCAUCCCUUUUCUGUGUGCAGUGGCACGAGCGCUGGCCAACGUUUACACCCAGGCGUCCGCUGCCACCAUGUUCAGAUAUAGAACACUGACAUCACUCCACACUUCCUUGUGUUCACGGAUCUCCUUUCUGCCACUGAAGAUGUGAUUUGCCAUUUCUAGAGCUUCUGCUGUCUUUUCCAUGGAGUGUCUUCAUGUUCAGGUGGCUAUGGAGAGGCUGCUGCAGUUACCUCUCACAUCUACACAUGGUGACGACAAAGAUCAAGAGAGGGAGCUAGGAGGAAGGGCUAUGUCCUUGCUUUCUCUGUCUGUUCUCCAAACAGCAACCAAAGCAAUCCUGAGAAAGUUGAAAGCUUCUACUACUGGGGCCAUGUGUCUCCUGCCUUGUGUCCCCGUGUGCCCCCUGGACCUUGCUGUAGAGAAGACUCAAGUGAGAUUUCCUGUCUUCACAGACUCAGUAAACAUCUCACUCCUAGGCAGGACACUGGCUGAGCUGAUGAAACCUGUGGGUCCUCUGGGGCUGCCAGUGGAAGAAUUCAUGGACAGCCUGGCAAGUCUCCCCAGGAGUCUGGAAAUGUACAGAAGCAGAGAGACUGGAACCAGCUCCUGGCCAGACAUGCUGAAGGAAUUCUGUGUUAGGCACGAAAGCUAUAGAGAUUCUAUUGGCGUGAGGAUCUGGAGGAGUGGAAGGAGUGAUGACCAGGCCUUUGGGACUGAAGUUGGACUUUAGGGGUUUUACAGCAAGGAGAUCAAACUAAUCAGUCCUAAAGGAAAUCAACCCUGAAUAUUCAUUGGAAGGACUGAUGCUGAAGCUGAAGGUCUAGUACUUUGGCCACCUGAUGCAAAGAGCCAGAUCAUUGGAAAAGACCCUGAUGCUGGGAAAGAUUGAAGGCAGGAGGAGAAAGGGAUGACAGAGGAUGAAUGGUUGGCUGGCAUCACUGACUCAAUGGACAUGAAUUUGAGCAAACUCCAAGAGA
This 1056-nucleotide long non-coding RNA is filed under the name Capra hircus (goat). RNAcentral describes it as "lncRNA (ENSCHIG00000004230.1)". The record is from RNAcentral. Lineage: Eukaryota; Metazoa; Chordata; Mammalia; Artiodactyla; Bovidae.